Molecule: unclassified non-coding RNA, 218 nt
Filed under: Hevea brasiliensis (rubber tree)
Lineage: Eukaryota; Viridiplantae; Streptophyta; Magnoliopsida; Malpighiales; Euphorbiaceae
Source: RNAcentral
GACAGGAGGAAGCAACUGGCGAAGCUGCGUGUCAAGGCUGAGAAGGCAGCCGAGGAGAAGCUGGGUCCUCAGCUGGAGAUUCUUGCUCCGAUCAAAUACUGAGAAGCUUUGCUUUCGUGCAUCAUCAGUUUUGUGAAACAUGUGCCCCCUUAUUCCUAGUAGUAUGGUGACUCAUGAUAGUACAAUCAAGGUGUUUAAACCGUUGUUAUGCAUCCCAG